This is a non-coding RNA of Pocillopora verrucosa, 226 nucleotides long. The record is from RefSeq and is a predicted model, not a curated record. NCBI's taxonomy places the organism in Eukaryota, Metazoa, Cnidaria, Anthozoa, Scleractinia, Pocilloporidae.
AUAAGAAUCUCCACCUUAAAAGUGGUAAACACCUGUGAAUUGUUACACCUCCACACUUACACCGGCGUCACUAACUUUCAUAAUAAGGAUGUUGUCAGCUGCUGUACUGUUGGCACUGGUGACCGUAUCUGUGGCUUCUGAAGGAGCAAAGUGGAAGUACGGGGAAACAGACAGUCACGGUACAGACAACAGAGUCUUGAAGUAUAGAUUAACAAUUCAUUUACUG